GUGCGAGUUCAACUAUGGGUUCUUAAUAGCAUGGUGUGCUUUUCUCUUGCUAGGAAAUUUUUGUCUUCUUUGGCUAUACCACGAUAUUUUGCUAGGCACAGACACUUAAUUUCCUUAACCAUUUGGUUUACGAGCCGAAGUUCAAGGAAACUGGGAGGCAAUGUUUGGACUCGAUUUUACACCAUCGGCCCAAGCGAUUGAGGCCGUUGAGUGAACUUGGUUCUUGACCGUCGGAUAAGGAAGUUAAGAUAUUUUGUUAUUGUUAAGAGAUAAUAUUAUGGUUUUUAAUCAUAAUAAUUAUCUUUAUCUCGGUUUUCUUGUACAAAAUAAGUGGGAUUCUCAUUAUCUUUAAUGGGAAGCAGUAACAACAGAGUUCAGAUUAACUUGGGUCUGCUGGUUGUAGACGUGUUGAUUGAUAGGAGAUCAUCACGAGGGAUUUGAUAUCAUCUAAAGAAAAUAAUAUUCAUGGAUAAUGAUGGCAUAGGAAACCUAGGUAGACUAGGCUUUUUGUUUUGCUUGGUGAUGGAUGUGACAGAUGGGUUUGAAAUGAUAAAGAUGCUUUGAAUUUUCAAAGUCUCUUUGUGAAAGUCUGGACGCAACGCAAGGAGGUUGGCAAGAUUUUUGGCAGAAUAUAUUAAAGAUAAUAUCGGUUGUUUUGAUAUUGUUUUUUGGAGUAUAUCUGGGAAAAGGCUUUAUUGGAUUGGUGAUCACGUAGACUUGGCUAUAAAUACAAAGCUGUAGAUAACGGAAAAGCCCCUCCAACUCAACACACAAAUUGCCCUGCGUAAACUCUCGCUCUACGCGAAACCUCUCAACAACCUUGAGUUUUUUUGUUUUCUUUUUCGCCAACACAUCUUCAGUUUGGAUAAACAGCACUGCGACAAGGCCAACUGGUUAUCUAUCCAAGUCUCGGUCGAGAAGGAUUUUCGAAUCCUUAUUGGUAGAGGACAUCUCAUCAGCCUUCUCAGCAAAGUAAGGUGUUACCAAUUUACUACAUUCGGCACCCUGGGAGCCAAAUUUGAUAUUGAACUUCGCAGGACUAGCAGCCUUGUCUUCAGGUUCUAGAACCUGUUGGCCGAGGGAGUUUAGUUUUUCCACAAGAAAGAUGGGCCGAAUAAAGACCGCAAAUUUGAUAGUAGUUUUGGAGUCUGUACUUUUAAAAUAUUGAUUUGGAUGCCUCAUGCUUUGGAUGGAGUAAAUUGUUCAGAGGUUGGUUUUCCCAAGAUUGGUUUAUAU
RNAcentral lists this long non-coding RNA (1236 nucleotides) under Malus domestica (apple). RNAcentral's name for it is "long non-coding RNA (MDOM_LNC003657)". The record is from RNAcentral. Lineage: Eukaryota; Viridiplantae; Streptophyta; Magnoliopsida; Rosales; Rosaceae.